GGACGGGUGAGUAACACGUGGGUAACCUGCCUGUAAGACUGGGAUAACUCCGGGAAACCGGGGCUAAUACCGGAUGGUUGUUUGAACCGCAUGGUUCAAACAUAAAAGGUGGCUUCGGCUACCACUUACAGAUGGACCCGCGGCGCAUUAGCUAGUUGGUGAGGUAACGGCUCACCAAGGCAACGAUGCGUAGCCGACCUGAGAGGGUGAUCGGCCACACUGGGACUGAGACACGGCCCAGACUCCUACGGGAGGCAGCAGUAGGGAAUCUUCCGCAAUGGACGAAAGUCUGACGGAGCAACGCCGCGUGAGUGAUGAAGGUUUUCGGAUCGUAAAGCUCUGUUGUUAGGGAAGAACAAGUACCGUUCGAAUAGGGCGGUACCUUGACGGUACCUAACCAGAAAGCCACGGCUAACUACGUGCCAGCAGCCGCGGUAAUACGUAGGUGGCAAGCGUUGUCCGGAAUUAUUGGGCGUAAAGGGCUCGCAGGCGGUUUCUUAAGUCUGAUGUGAAAGCCCCCGGCUCAACCGGGGAGGGUCAUUGGAAACUGGGGAACUUGAGUGCAGAAGAGGAGAGUGGAAUUCCACGUGUAGCGGUGAAAUGCGUAGAGAUGUGGAGGAACACCAGUGGCGAAGGCGACUCUCUGGUCUGUAACUGACGCUGAGGAGCGAAAGCGUGGGGAGCGAACAGGAUUAGAUACCCUGGUAGUCCACGCCGUAAACGAUGAGUGCUAAGUGUUGGGGUUUCCGCCCCUUAGUGCUGCAGCUAACGCAUUAAGCACUCCGCCUGGGGAGUACGGUCGCAAGACUGAAACUCAAAGGAAUUGACGGGGGCCCGCACAAGCGGUGGAGCAUGUGGUUUAUUCGAAGCAACGCGAAGAACCUUACCAGGUCUUGACAUCCUCUGACAUCCUAGAGAUAGGACGUCCCCUUCGGGGGCAGAGUGACAGGUGGUGCAUGGUGUCGUCAGCUCGUGUCGUGAGAUUUGGGUUAAGUCCCGACAGCGCACCUGAUCUAGUUGCCAGCAUUAGUUGGGUCUAGACUGCUGAAACGAGGGAUAGUCAAAUCUCUCAGACGAACC
This 1080-nucleotide ribosomal RNA is filed under the name Bacillus subtilis. RNAcentral's name for it is "bacterial SSU rRNA". It matches the Rfam family "Bacterial small subunit ribosomal RNA", at positions 100 to 1177 of the family's 1533-position model. The record is from RNAcentral. Lineage: Bacteria; Bacillati; Bacillota; Bacilli; Caryophanales; Bacillaceae.